UCACUCCAACCCCUGUGACAUACCAAUUGUUGCCUCGGCGGAUCAGCCCGCUCCCGGUAAAACGGGACGGCCCGCCAGAGGACCCCUAAACUCUGUUUCUAUAUGUAACUUCUGAGUAAAACCAUAAAUAAAUCAAAACUUUCAACAACGGAUCUCUUGGUUCUGGCAUCGAUGAAGAACGCAGCAAAAUGCGAUAAGUAAUGUGAAUUGCAGAAUUCAGUGAAUCAUCGAAUCUUUGAACGCACAUUGCGCCCGCCAGUAUUCUGGCGGGCAUGCCUGUUCGAGCGUCAUUUCAACCCUCAAGCCCCCGGGUUUGGUGUUGGGGAUCGGCGAGCCCUUGCGGCAAGCCGGCCCCGAAAUCUAGUGGCGGUCUCGCUGCAGCUUCCAUUGCGUAGUAGUAAAACCCUCGCAACUGGUACGCGGCGCGGCCAAGCCGUUAAACCCCCAACUUCUGAAUGUUGACCUCGGAUCAGGUAGGAAUACCCGCUGAACUUAAGCAUAUCAAUAAGGCGGAGGAAA
RNAcentral lists this ribosomal RNA (519 nucleotides) under Fusarium proliferatum. Its description in RNAcentral is "eukaryotic LSU rRNA". The stretch from base 137 to 290 matches the Rfam family "5.8S ribosomal RNA". Lineage: Eukaryota; Fungi; Ascomycota; Sordariomycetes; Hypocreales; Nectriaceae. The record is from RNAcentral.